UUCUUAUAUCCAUGGCAACCAAGACCACUGUAAUUGGUCUAUGUCUGGAAUCAGGAGGCCUGGUUCUAGCCCAAGCACAGUCUCCAGCUUAAGGAAUGACCUUAAGCAAGCACUUCUUCCCUCAGGGCAACAUUUAAAAAAAUAAGAAGAUUGGAUUGAUCAACAUUUUACUGCCUGUAUUUCACAGGACAUUCUCCUUUUAAUAUAUUUGCUUGAACCUUCUUGAAAACAGGACUCCACGGACAAAUAAGGGUGCCUCUGCAGCAGCAAAUGUGGCUGUUCAACAAUCUGAAGUCUUUGAUUGUGAACAGUGCUAACCAGCCCUGGGAAAGAAAAGCAGCUCUCUUCCCUGCUCUCCAGGGCUAGCAGAUGAACACUGUGGGGUCGAGCCCAGUCUGGCCAGAGCAAGUCCAGGAAAAGGUGCUUCUCACUCUUCAGGGCACUGCUCAGAUCCCCAAGCAUAAUUUUGGAAACUCUGAUCCAGAACCCUGGAUUGCAGGUCUAACACCAGCAAUAUUUACACACCGAAGGCACGAGUAUGGCCAUUUGGGGGGCUGUGAUAUUGUUAUUGAGGAGUUUUCCAGAGAUAACUAGACAAGAGCUAGAAAACAAUGGAAGGAACUUUAGAAGCUCACAGUGAGGAACGAGAUAAGAACUUCUACAGGAGAGAAGGAUGCAUGAGGCCAGACAGAAAAUUUGGCUGUUAAGAGGCACCAGCUUUCCCAGUGACUACUCUGGUGGACCCUGACAAGAGUAAGUUUGUAGUUUCAGAAACUCCACACUCUCUUCUGUUUGCCAUCUUUGUGAAUUUGUUCACGAGGAGACGGUUUUGGAGAUUUUUUUUUCAUGACUAGAUUCUGAGUAUUCUCUCAUCUUAAGGACAGUCCUGUCCUUAAAUCCACACAUCUGGAAAGCAGAAUUAGCUCCCAAGGAUGCUUGAUGAGGAAAUAUGGAAACACAGGAGACCAUUUCACCAAGGCCAAAGCAGCUCCAGUUCCUCUUUUGUGGUCAUAGAGAGGAAGUCCGGAGUCAUAGAAAUUAUCCUGGCUUAGAAUCAGAGAGACUUGGAUUCAAAUUUUGGCUCAGAAGCAAGUUAUCUAACCAUUUUGGCUUUGCAUUUAACAUUUGUAAAAUGGAAAGAACAAUAUCUACCUAAAAGGACUGUUCUGGGUGUUAUACAUAGUUAAUAACUUAUUUAUAUUUAUUACACAUGAAUGUAUUAAUACCAGGUAUUAUGUUAAAUAUUGGGGAUGAAAUUGUGGGCAAAGCAGAUAAGAGUCUUGUUUCAAAAAAGCAUAUGUUCUAGUAUGGGAAAUGUCUUCGUUCAUUUUGUGUUGCUGUAACAGAAUACCUGUGGCUGGGUAAUUUAUAAAGGAAAGAGGUUCAUUUGGCUCACAGUUCUGUGGGCUGGGAAGUUCAAGAGCAUGGGUGCUGGAUUCUGGUGAGGGCUUUCCUGCUGUGUCAUAAUAGUAGCAGUUCAAAGGGGGAGUCAUAUUUGAAGGAUCCCAACAUUCAAGAUGUCCUUGCUUUAUAAACAAGUUGCUCUUGCAGGAAUGGAUCAAGUCUAAUGAGAGAAAGAACUCAUUAUUGCGAGAACAGCACCAAGCCAUUUAUGAGAGAUCUGUCCCCAUUACCUAAACACCUCCCAUUAAGCUCCACCUCUUAAAGGUUUCACCUCCUGACAUUGUUACCUUAGCAAUUAAAUUUCAGCAUGAGUUUUGGCAGGGACAAAUCACAUUCAAACCAUAGCAGGAAGAUAAACACUCAUCAAAUAAUCACAUGAGUAUAUACUAUAUCUUUACAAUAUAAUUACAUGCUAUGUAAAAUUACAGACUGUGAUAAGUUCAGGAAAGGAGAGUAAAGGUGAGGUGAUUUUUAAAGUAUACUUGCAUUUUUUUUGAUGUGUUCCUCUCCCUCUUUUUAGAAUAAGGUAGAAUCUAAUUCCUCUCUGAUUAGAUAUGAUCCAGUCUUAGUGACUCACUUCUGACAAAUAGAAUAUGGCAGAAGUGGUGCUAUGUGGCUUCUGAGGCUAAUUCAUACAGAAGGAUACAGCUUUCUUCCAUACACUCACUUGCUCCUCUCUCUCUUUCUCUCCUUCAAUGCUUAACUUUGAGAUCAAGUCAACAGGUUGUGAGGAAGCCUAGGAAAUAAGGAGAGUCCUAUGUAGAGAAGAACUGAGGCUUCUUGACAACAGCCAACACCAACGUGCCAGCUACAUGAGUGAGCAGUCUUUAAGUGGAAACUCCAGUCUUAAUCAGACCUUCAGAUAAUGCAUUCCUCGCUGACCUCUGCAAUCUCAGGAGAGACCACAAGCCAGAACCACUUAGCCAUGCCAUUCCCAAAUGCAGAAGCUGUGAGAAAUAAUAAAUGAUUAUUACUGUUUUAAGACAUUGAGUUUUAAAGAGAUUUGUUACCCACCAUUAGACAACUAACACAAUAGAAAACCAGGAGAUAAAGUCUGAGGGAUCAGUAAAGACUUUCUUGAUGAAAUAACAUUUGAACUUAUAACAGGAAGAGAGGAAUUAAUUAGCUCAAGAAGAGGGAGAAGUAUUCUAAGGAGCUAUACCAACACAAACAAGGGCCCUGUGGGCAAAUGAUAAAUUUGAGAAAUUAGGAGUUAUCUAGUUUGGGAAGAACACAGUGUUGGGAGGGAGAGGUGCAAGAUGCUUGAAAAGGUGUUAGGGGUAGGGGAGGGUUAGAUCAUUAAGGGCCUUAGAAAGGACUUAUUUUCUAAACAUGAUAGAACAUUCUUGAAGGGUAUUUAUCAGGUAGGGAGGUAUCAAGCCUAACAUUCUAGGUUUCUGCUGAUUUCCCAGAGAUGGAAACACUGGAUGAGAACCAAGUUUACAGUGGAAGAUUAUGGUUUUGGACAGGUUGCUUGAGAUACUUUUGAGAUACCCAGAUGGUGGUAUCAUGUAAGAGAUCAGAUAUACACAUCUGGAGUUCCAGAGAGAGAGAGAGAGAGAGGGAUCACAUGUGCAUGUUUGGAAGACAACAGCGAAAAAAUAAUAAUUGAAACCAAUGGAGUGAACGAGCUCAGCUGGAGACAGGAUAUAAAGUGAAACUAGAAGAAAGCCUAAGAUCCAGAAUUACAAAAUUCAUGGCUCGCUAGAGGGGACCAGGUCAGCUAAGCAAAAUGAGAGAGAGCAGCCAGAGAAGUAGGAAUUAAAUGAACAGAGUGUCUCAGGGAGGUGGUGGUUAAUAAUGUCAAAUAAUACAAGUAAGAUGGUAGAUGAAAGGCCUACUGAACUAACUACACUCAUGAAAGGCUAGAACGACCACUGUUUGAAUGCAAUUCCUGAUGGGUGCAGAAGCCCAAUUGGAGAGGGUUGAGAAAUAAGUAGGAGGUAAAUAAAUGGAGGCAAUGAGGCCAGACAAUUCCUCUCAGAAGUUUUGCCAUGAAAGGGAAGAGAGAGGACAGUAGCUGGGCAUG
Molecule: long non-coding RNA, 3433 nt
Organism: Pan paniscus (pygmy chimpanzee)
Lineage: Eukaryota; Metazoa; Chordata; Mammalia; Primates; Hominidae
Source: Ensembl